RNAcentral lists this ribosomal RNA (253 nucleotides) under uncultured bacterium. Its description in RNAcentral is "partial 16S ribosomal RNA". It matches the Rfam family "Bacterial small subunit ribosomal RNA", at positions 524 to 776 of the family's 1533-position model. The record is from RNAcentral.
UACAGAGGGGGCAAGCGUUGUUCGGAAUUACUGGGCGUAAAGGGCGCGUAGGCGGCCUGUUAAGUCGAACGUGAAAUCCCCGGGCUCAACCCGGGAACUGCGUCCGAUACUGGCAGGCUUGAAUUCGGGAGAGGGAUGCGGAAUUCCAGGUGUAGCGGUGAAAUGCGUAGAUAUCUGGAGGAACACCGGAGGCGAAGGCGGCAUCCUGGACCGAGAUUGACGCUGAGGCGCGAAAGCCAGGGGAGCAAACGGG